AACGAACGCUGGCGGCAUGCCUAACACAUGCAAGUCGAACGAAGCCUUCGGGCUUAGUGGCGCACGGGUGCGUAACGCGUGGGAAUCUGCCCCUUGCUUCAGAAUAACAGUUAGAAAUGACUGCUAAUACCGGAUGAAGUCUUCGGACCAAAGAUUUAUCGGCAAGGGAUGAGCCCGCGUAGGAUUAGGUAGUUGGUGGGUAAAGGCCUACCAAGCCGACGAUCCUUAGCUGGUCUGAGAGGAUGAUCAGCCACACUGGGACUGAGACACGGCCCAGACUCCUACGGGAGGCAGCAGUGGGGAAUAUUGGACAAUGGACGCAAGUCUGAUCCAGCAAUGCCGCGUGAGUGAUGAAGGCCUUAGGGUUGUAAAGCUCUUUUACCAGGGAUGAUAAUGACAGUACCUGGAGAAUAAGCUCCGGCUAACUCCGUG
Molecule: ribosomal RNA, 432 nt
Filed under: uncultured bacterium
Lineage: Bacteria
Description: partial 16S ribosomal RNA
Rfam family: Bacterial small subunit ribosomal RNA
Source: RNAcentral